AAAGCUUUAAGUUAAAAAAACUAUUAACCUUCAAAGUUAAAAUUACAGGCAUGACGUAAGCUUUA
This 65-nucleotide transfer RNA is filed under the name Canthesancus helluo. RNAcentral describes it as "tRNA-Trp". Lineage: Eukaryota; Metazoa; Arthropoda; Insecta; Hemiptera; Reduviidae. The record is from RNAcentral.